GGCGGUGUAGCUCAGCCUGGCAGAGCACCGGUUUCAUAAGCCGGUUGUCGCGUGUUCAAAUCACGCCACCGCCACCA
This 77-nucleotide transfer RNA is filed under the name Candidatus Woesearchaeota archaeon. RNAcentral describes it as "tRNA-Met". It matches the Rfam family "tRNA". From Rfam's summary of the family: Transfer RNA (tRNA) molecules are approximately 80 nucleotides in length. Their secondary structure includes four short double-helical elements and three loops (D, anti-codon, and T loops). The record is from RNAcentral. Lineage: Archaea; Nanobdellati; Candidatus Woesearchaeota.